This 369-nucleotide transfer-messenger RNA is filed under the name Turicibacter sanguinis. It matches the Rfam family "transfer-messenger RNA", at positions 52 to 374 of the family's 374-position model. From Rfam's summary of the family: Bacterial tmRNA, also known as 10Sa RNA or SsrA, is named for its dual tRNA and mRNA-like properties. Its role is to liberate the mRNA from a stalled ribosome. The record is from RNAcentral. Lineage: Bacteria; Bacillati; Bacillota; Erysipelotrichia; Erysipelotrichales; Turicibacteraceae.
AUGGACGUGAAUACUAACCGGAACGCCCCAUCUCCACCAUAAAAUUCUCGUACGCAAUAUUUACCAAGAAAAAACAUAUCUAAGAACAGAAGCUAAUUCUGAGUUUAGAUAUGUUUUUUUGUUUAUUAUCAAUGGUUUCAAGCAUUUUCAUAAAAUAUUUCAUUGAUAUAAGAUCCUACUAUAANCUCACUAUUAGUGGGAUACGCUAGUCUGUGCCGUUUGAAUAGCCUAGAAGAGAUUAUCAAACUCGCGGUCUGACAGGUCUGUCGCCUAACCAGUCACCCGUUAAAUUCAAUAGGAGACUAAGCUUGUAGAAAGUUAAGUGGUCGGUGUUUUCGGACGGGGGUUCGACUCCCCCCAUCUCCACCA